This 358-nucleotide transfer RNA is filed under the name uncultured Microcystis sp. Its description in RNAcentral is "partial 16S-23S ribosomal RNA intergenic spacer". The stretch from base 133 to 206 matches the Rfam family "tRNA". Lineage: Bacteria; Bacillati; Cyanobacteriota; Cyanophyceae; Chroococcales; Microcystaceae. The record is from RNAcentral.
AAGGGAGACCUAAUUCCGGUAGGAGACGAAAAAAAAGUAGUCCCAACCAAGAAUCAAUCCCAAAAGGUCGGAACGAGGUAUGAGGCUUUCAAACUAGGUCCUGGGUUCAUAAAAGACCUGAAUCAGGAACAAGGGCUAUUAGCUCAGGUGGUUAGAGCGCACCCCUGAUAAGGGUGAGGUCCCUGGUUCGAGUCCAGGAUGGCCCACCUGCACAGGUGGCAAAAACAAGAGAAGCUCCGAAUCAGCACCUUAUCUUAUAUACAUAUAUAAGAGAGAAUGCUGGCUCUGAGUACAGAGUCCAGAGGAACCUUGAAAACUGCAUAGAGCUAGGUGAAAAAGCCAAAAAAGAAGACCGCAA